GAUGAACGCUGACAGAAUGCUUAACACAUGCAAGUCAACUUGAACUUCGGUUUGGGUGGCGGACGGGUGAGUAACGCGUACAGAACUUGCCUCACAGAUAGGGACAACAUUUGGAAACGAAUGCUAAUACCUGAUAUUAUGAUUUUAGGGCAUCCUAGGAUUAUGAAAGCUAUAUGCGCUGUGAGAGAGCUUUGCGUCCCAUUAGCUAGUUGGAGAGGUAACGGCUCACCAAGGCGAUGAUGGGUGGCCGGCCUGAGAGGGUGAUCGGCCACAAGGGGACUGAGACACGGCCCUUACUCCUACGGGAGGCAGCAGUGGGGAAUAUUGGACAAUGGACCAAGAGUCUGAUCCAGCAAUUCUGUGUGCACGAUGAAGUUUUUCGGAAUGUAAAGUGCUUUCAGUUGGGAAGAAAAAAAUGACGGUACCAACAGAAGAAGUGACGGCUAAAUACGUG
Molecule: ribosomal RNA, 454 nt
Filed under: uncultured bacterium
Lineage: Bacteria
Description: partial 16S ribosomal RNA
Rfam family: Bacterial small subunit ribosomal RNA
Source: RNAcentral